GCCCCCAUGAAACUGAGUGUAAAUGCUGGCACAAGCUCCAGCUUCUCUGUAACAUCUGGCAUACAGCCCCAGUCCAGUCAACAAGUGUUGCUUCACCAAGUUUCAUCUCUGCCCCAGUAGCAAGAACAUGGCAUGCCAUGAUUUACAGGUCCAGGUUCAUCCAAGAAUUCCUGGCCCCUACAAGUCCUGUAAGACUGUAUUCAGAGCUGCAGCAAGGGUUGAGCCUUGGCUAGUCCACAAAGCAGAGGCAGCUGACACCUCAGGUGUUCUGCAGUAUCGCAUAAUCCUCAUGUCCUUCUCUGGAAACAUCUUACCCAGAAUGAUGACUUCUUUCUCAGCUGGAGAAUGGGCAGGUCGAGAAGAGAGGCUGUGUAGUAUAUUUUUGAAGUGGAGAUGCUGGCUAGGAAAGCUGUCCCAGCUGUCCCAGAAUGGCAGACCUUGGCUUAUUGAUUCCACAAAGAGUGGAAUUGCAGUGCACUCAAGGGAGGUUUUGCACUGUCAGCCAUCACUCUGACUACUCCCAGUGGGGCCGACUCCAUGCACGUGAGAGCAGCACCAUCAGAAGAGCUGGACACAGGUGGAAAGUAGACCUGUCAUGACCUCACCUGAUUCCUGGUUAUGGUGGAAAUAAGUGGCAGCAGGAGAGCGCUGCGCCUUCACUGAUCCUUGGGGCAAUCCUGCCAGUGUGGACUAAUGGGUGGAAACAACAAAUCUGUAAUUUUUGCUCAGGGUAGAAACAAAAGCUGAAGAAGCAGUUGCAAACUAAAGAUGUGCAAGUGCCUUUGGGCAGGCAGGGAAGGAAGGUGAAUAUCUACUUUAGCAAGUGAAAAGAGUGCCAGUUUACAGCUUUGCACACACUUUGCUGAUAGCGAGCCACAGAUGCUGUCCUGCCUGGCUCUGAAUCAUCAGUGGCCUCAGCUGACAACACAAGAAAAAUAGACAAAGACUUUUAACUGCAACAGAGUCAUUUUUCCA
Long non-coding RNA from Passer domesticus (house sparrow), 975 nucleotides. RefSeq lists it as uncharacterized. The record is from RefSeq and is a predicted model, not a curated record. Lineage: Eukaryota; Metazoa; Chordata; Aves; Passeriformes; Passeridae. The transcript is spliced from 5 exons.